ACAUGGCACAUUUUCUAGUGACCAGCUACCAGGAGAAGCAGGCUCCUGAAACUGCAAUUCAGGGAGGUAAUGUGCAGUCAACCUCAACACCCAGUAAGCGAACAGCAGCUAAAAUGUUGCAUCGAUUAUCUCCAACUGAACCUCUGUCUGAGGGGUUAGUAUCUUUUCUGUAAAACAAAUAUUCACGUUUUUGUGCUAUGAUAUUUCAUACAUUAAAUUACACCUUGCAUAUCCACACUUGGUUUAGAACUAACAUCACACCACCAAACACUUCUGACAUUAUCUUUACAGGGAAGAUUUUCUAAUGGCUGGUGUUGAGGCCUUAGCUGAUGACCUAGAUUUGGAUCCUUUUGAAGAAAGUUUCAAAUCCAUGGAUCUAGCUACGGAUGCAGUCCAAAUUGAUGAGGACCAAGCAAACAACUUACUCAACAGUGUGUGAGUUGCAAUGUCUUCUUAUCUAGGGGUGGGCAAUAUAAACGAUAUAAGGUAGAAAUGAUAUAAAAUUGGGUAAUUUUACGGCCCCCAGCUCGUCUAGGAGAUGAUGUUAAAGGGGGCGUAAAGAAAGAUAUGUGAAUUACCGGACAAAACCAAGAUUUACUCUCUUAGAGGAGUUUAUUAACUAAAAAACACUGCUUUAUGCAGGCUAAGACAAAAUGAAUACAAAACCAAAAGGACGUCCCACUGGGGAAUUAACAAUACUAAACAGAAGGAUCAUCCAAUACAGGGUAAAUAACAAUACUAUUAAUAAACACAAAACGCCGGUACUAAUCCGGGAAAGUAAAGGAAUGAGACAAACACAAAAGGCUACACCAAAAGGGUGAGCUGAACUCUUUAACGAGUAUUCUAAUGGAGACAAAAACGAGCUCUGGCUACUAGGAAGUGUACCACACAGGUAAUCAAAACGAAGACUUUAACGUCUGGUUUGCUAGGAGGGAAAAAGAGGAACACUCGCUUUAACACCAGGCCUCUGCUAAGCUUCCCUCCUCGAAUGACAGAGGGAGCUGCCUUUUAUAGGAAGCUCCCUGACUGAGAAGAUUAGCGACACCUGGCUCAGCUAGAGCCAGGUGAACAGGUAGGAGCUCUGAGGCCACCUUGUGGCCACAAAACAGACAACGUCUGUAACAGGUAAUGAUAGUUUUUGGCUAUAUCGCAAUACGGCGAUAUUGUGAUAACACAUGACGUCACUAAGAUGUGCACCCUGCUGACAAUGGGACAACAGAAUGGCGGUGACUGCAAGCAUGGAGUGGGCGGAGGAGGAGGCCUAUAUGCCUCAAGUGGCAUAUAUUUGCCACAUGAGGAUAUCUAAAAGCAUGUCAAUUUGACAUCUAUAAACAGAUGAAAAAAUAUAUCGCAAUAUAUAUCGUUACUGCACAUGCUUCAGAUUAUAUCACAAUAUAGAUUUGAGGCCAUAUUUCCCAGCCCUAUUCUUAUCUACACUCUUUUUUUAAACUCCAAAGUCUUAAAACAAUAUAUUAAUUCUACUUUUAUUUAUUGUUUUCAUAACAGAAUAGAACUGUUAUGAAAACUUUGUCAGGCUGACGAAGUUUGCAGCCGCAAACAAAACGUUGCAGGUAAAUAAAACCCUUCUAUGUUUUAAAAAGAACUAAAAGAUGGAAUUGUUGUUUUAUCCUUGUUCACAGACUGGGAUCCUAAAGGGAAUUUCCAUCCUACUUGUGUGGCUGAAUGACAUCUUCAACCAAUUUUGGUACAUUUGUCAGAAAGCACAACAUCGUGAUAUGUUUAAUGACAUGUGGGUGGGUGUGCUUCACCAUGUCACAGGGAAGCAUGAAUGGACCCGUGGCAAAUGUGACCAUGGACCACUUGAUGCAACGUGGCAUGGUGCCAGGAUCUCCACCACACGAGGCUCUUCAACGAAUCAUGUUCAACAGACGCUGGUUGAAGGAUGCCACCAAUCU
Molecule: non-coding RNA, 1916 nt
Organism: Nothobranchius furzeri (turquoise killifish)
Lineage: Eukaryota; Metazoa; Chordata; Actinopteri; Cyprinodontiformes; Nothobranchiidae
Source: RefSeq, a predicted model, not a curated record